CCCCUAGAUGUUCUGGGCCGCACGCGCGCUACACUGGUCGAUGCAACGAGUUUCUUUCCUUGGCCGACAGGCCUGGGCAAUCUUUGAACAUCGAUCGUGAUCGGGAUAGAUUCUUGUAAUUUUUGAUCUUAAACGAGGAAUUCCUAGUAAACGCAAGUCAUCAGCUUGCAUUGAUUACGUCCCUGCCCUUUGUACACACCGCCCGUCGCACCUACCGAUUGAAUGGUCCGGUGAAAUCUCCGGACUGGCGUGAGUCGGAGCAAUCUGACAAACGCCGGAAAGUUGAUUAAACCUUACCAUUUAGAGGAAGGUGAANUCGUANCA
Molecule: ribosomal RNA, 324 nt
Filed under: uncultured eukaryote
Lineage: Eukaryota
Description: partial 18S ribosomal RNA
Rfam family: Eukaryotic small subunit ribosomal RNA
Source: RNAcentral